This 226-nucleotide ribosomal RNA is filed under the name uncultured bacterium. Its description in RNAcentral is "partial 16S ribosomal RNA". It matches the Rfam family "Bacterial small subunit ribosomal RNA", at positions 29 to 240 of the family's 1533-position model. The record is from RNAcentral.
AGCGAACGUUAGCGGCGGGCCUAACACAUGCAAGUCGAGCGAGAAAGUGGCUUCGGCCAUCAGUAAAGCGGCGGACGGGUGAGUAACACGUAGGUAAUCUUCCCUUGAGCGGGGACAACGUUUCGGAAAGGAACGCUAAUACCGCAUAAGUUUCCGAGGACUCGUGGUUCGUUGGAAGGAAAGCUAGGUCGCAAGAUCCGGCACUCGAGGAGGAGCCUGCGUCGCA